AGUGAACGCUGGCGGUAGGCCUAACACAUGCAAGUCGAACGGCAGCACAGUAAGAGCUUGCUCUUACGGGUGGCGAGUGGCGGACGGGUGAGGAAUACAUCGGAAUCUACUUUUUCGUGGGGGAUAACGUAGGGAAACUUACGCUAAUACCGCAUACGACCUACGGGUGAAAGCAGGGGAUCUUCGGACCUUGCGCGAUUGAAUGAGCCGAUGUCGGAUUAGCUAGUUGGCGGGGUAAAGGCCCACCAAGGCGACGAUCCGUAUCUGGUCUGAGAGGAUGAUCAGACAGACUGGAACUGAGACACGGUCCAGACUCCUACGGGAGGCAGCAGUGGGGAAUAUUGGACAAUGGGCGAAAGCCUGAUACAGCCAUACCGCGUGGGUGAAGAAGGCCUUCGGGUUGUAAAGCCCUUUUGUUGGGAAAGAAAAGCAGCAGGUUAAUACCCCGCUGUUCUGACGGUACCCAAAGAAUAAGCACCGGCUAACUUCGUG
Molecule: ribosomal RNA, 492 nt
Filed under: uncultured bacterium
Lineage: Bacteria
Description: partial 16S ribosomal RNA
Rfam family: Bacterial small subunit ribosomal RNA
Source: RNAcentral